Molecule: ribosomal RNA, 531 nt
Filed under: uncultured Flavobacterium sp.
Lineage: Bacteria; Pseudomonadati; Bacteroidota; Flavobacteriia; Flavobacteriales; Flavobacteriaceae
Description: bacterial SSU rRNA
Rfam family: Bacterial small subunit ribosomal RNA
Source: RNAcentral
AGAGACCGGCGCACGGGUGCGUAACGCGUAUGCAAUCUACCUUUUACAGAGGGAUAGCCCAGAGAAAUUUGGAUUAAUACCUCAUAGUAUUACGACUCGGCAUCGAGAUGUAAUUAAAGUCACAACGGUAAAAGAUGAGCAUGCGUCCCAUUAGCUAGUUGGUAAGGUAACGGCUUACCAAGGCUACGAUGGGUAGGGGUCCUGAGAGGGAGAUCCCCCACACUGGUACUGAGACACGGACCAGACUCCUACGGGAGGCAGCAGUGAGGAAUAUUGGACAAUGGGCGCAAGCCUGAUCCAGCCAUGCCGCGUGCAGGAUGACGGUCCUAUGGAUUGUAAACUGCUUUUAUACAGGAAGAAACACCUCUACGUGUAGAGACUUGACGGUACUGUAAGAAUAAGGAUCGGCUAACUCCGUGCCAGCAGCCGCGGUAAUACGGAGGAUCCAAGCGUUAUCCGGAAUCAUUGGGUUUAAAGGGUCCGUAGGCGGUUUAGUAAGUCAGUGGUGAAAGCCCAUCGCUCAACGGUGGA